GAUGGAACCCGUGUCCCAUAGCCCCCAAGAUGACACAGAUCCCAUUGCUCCACAGUAGGAACUCUAAAUUCUAUUAACUCUUAACCAGAACUCACUUCUGAUGAUUCUGCAAUAUGAGGAACAAGUAGGGAUUGGGUCUUAGGACCAGCCUGCUGCCAUGGGAAUAUACUAACAAAGUACAAUUAAGCUUUCAAAUUGGAAGAUGAAUGUUUCUUAAACUCAGGCCUUACCUGAACCCUGAUCCUCUCCCCAUACCUUGGAGAAUCAGAAGGUACUGGGUUUAGAAAGGUAAUUAUGUGAUUUUUUUUUUUUUUUUCCCUCCAGCAUUUCUAGAAAGCUGCUGACCUUAUCCUGGAAAAAGGUGUUCAAAACACUUUGUACCAGAGUUCCUGUUGUGGCACAGCAGAAACAAACCUGACCAGUAUUCAUGAGGAUGCAGGUGAACAGCAAAGUGAUUCCUGUGUAUCUGAAUCUGUUCUCUUGACUCCCAGCCAAGUGAUCUUUCCAAAUGGCCAUCUUUCCCAGAGGUUGUUCCUAAAGACUGCU
This 546-nucleotide long non-coding RNA is filed under the name Sus scrofa (pig). Its description in RNAcentral is "lncRNA (ENSSSCG00070018420.1)". The record is from RNAcentral. Lineage: Eukaryota; Metazoa; Chordata; Mammalia; Artiodactyla; Suidae.